AAUAUUGCACAAUGGGCGCAAGCCUGAUGCAGCCAUGCCGCGUGUAUGAAGAAGGCCUUCGGGUUGUAAAGUACUUUCAGCAGUGAGGAAGGCGGAGUCGUUAAUAGCGGCCUCGUUUGACGUUAGCUGCAGAAGAAGCACCGGCUAACUCCGUGCCAGCAGCCGCGGUAAUACGGAGGGUGCGAGCGUUAAUCGGAAUUACUGGGCGUAAAGCGCAUGCAGGCGGCCUGUUAAGUCAGAUGUGAAAGCCCGGGGCUUAACCUCGGAAUUGCAUUUGAAACUGGCAGGCUAGAGUCUUGUAGAGGGGGUAGAAUUUCAGGUGUAGCGGUGAAAUGCGUAGAUAUAUGGAGGAACACCAAUGGCGAAGGCAGCUUGCUGGACAGUAAUUGACGCUGAGAUGCGAAAGCGUGGGUAGCAAACAGGAUUAGAUACCCUGGUAG
This 440-nucleotide ribosomal RNA is filed under the name uncultured bacterium. RNAcentral's name for it is "bacterial SSU rRNA". It matches the Rfam family "Bacterial small subunit ribosomal RNA", at positions 360 to 793 of the family's 1533-position model. The record is from RNAcentral.